This 340-nucleotide long non-coding RNA is filed under the name Sus scrofa (pig). RNAcentral describes it as "lncRNA (ENSSSCG00025021356.1, ENSSSCG00035061872.1)". The record is from RNAcentral. Lineage: Eukaryota; Metazoa; Chordata; Mammalia; Artiodactyla; Suidae.
GCCAUCCCUUCUGUGGGGCUCACUCCUGACUGCUGCUCCCAAACAGUGCAGUGUGAAAAGUUACAGCCACUCCUAACUUCACCUUCUUGGUUGCCUCUGUCUAUCCUUUGGUCUUCAUUUUAAGGGUUUCCAUCUGUUGAGAUCAAAUGUGAAAAAGAACUGCCUGAAUCAUACAUUUAAUUUGGUGCAAUGAAGAUGCAAAUGGCAACGUAGCAGGGACAGACCACAAACUUUCCACUCAGAUUUAAAAUUAAUUGGAGUUCCCAUUGUGGCCCAGUGGUUAACAAAUCCGACUAGGAACCAUGAGGUUGCGGGUUCGAUCCCUGGCCUUGCUCAGUGG